This 338-nucleotide ribosomal RNA is filed under the name uncultured bacterium. Its description in RNAcentral is "partial 16S ribosomal RNA". It matches the Rfam family "Bacterial small subunit ribosomal RNA", at positions 338 to 673 of the family's 1533-position model. The record is from RNAcentral.
CCUACGGGAGGCUGCAGUGAGGAAUAUUGGUCAAUGGACGCAAGUCUGAACCAGCCAUGCCGCGUGCAGGAAGACGGCUCUAUGAGUUGUAAACUGCUUUUGUACGAGGGUAAACGCAGAUACGCGUAUCUGUCUGAAAGUCUCGUACGAAUAAGGAUCGGCUAACUCCGUGCCAGCAGCCGCGGUAAUACGGAGGAUUCAAGCGUUAUCCGGGUUUAAUGGGUUUAAAGGGUGCGUAGGGGGUCGGGUAAGUUAGAGGUGGAAUCCCGAGGCUCAACUUCGGAAUUGCCUCUGAUACUGUUCGGCUAGGAGGGAGUUGCAGUAGGCGGAAUGUAUGG